AGUGAACGCUGGCGGUAGGCCUAACACAUGCAAGUCGAACGGAAGCACGGGGAGAUCGUUCUCUUACGGGUAGCGAGUGACGGACGGGUGACGAAUGGAUCGCAAUCUACUUUUUCUGGGGUGACAACGGAGAGAAACUGACGCUAAUACCGCAUACAACCUACCGGUGAAAGCAGUGGAGCUACGGAGCUUGCGCGAUUGAAUUAGCCGAAGUCGGAUUAGCUAGUUGGGUGGGUAACGUCACACCAAGGCGACGAUACGUAGCUGGGCUGAGAGGAUGAUCAGCCACACUGGAACUGAGACACGGUCCAGACUCCUACGGGAGGCAGCAGUGGGGAAUCUUGGACAAUGGGCGCAAGCCUGACCCAGCAAUACCGCGUGAGUGAAGAAGGCCUUCGGGUUGUAAAGCUCUUUUGUUAGGAAAGAAAAGAAGCAGGUUAAUCCCCCGACGUUCUGACGGUACCCAAAGAAUAAGCACCGGCUAACUUCGUG
This 492-nucleotide ribosomal RNA is filed under the name uncultured bacterium. RNAcentral describes it as "partial 16S ribosomal RNA". It matches the Rfam family "Bacterial small subunit ribosomal RNA", at positions 29 to 507 of the family's 1533-position model. The record is from RNAcentral.